UAGGUGGUGGUUAAGAAGUUAAAAAAGUGGCAGCGCCGGCAAACUUGUCGUGCAACCCUGAGCAGAAAAUUACCUUCGACGCCGAUGGCAGAGCAGAAUGUACAAAGACUUCGGCUAUUUUGUGUGUUAAAUAUUUGGUUGUAACUUAUUAUAAUUUUUGUGCAUUUUGGACGAUCUUUAUGCUACAUCUGCAUAUUAAAAUUGUUUAUAAUUUUUAAAUGAACUUAAAGAGUAAAGUUGAAGGAAAUAUCAGCACAUUUUAAUCGCAGCUAAAAAUUUCUCAUGUGGACAGUUUUUCAUUAAAAAUAACCAAAAAAUAUAAUUGGCCAGCAAAAGAAAAUAAGAAAAAAGUGAUAAUGAUAUUCGAAACGCUCCUCCAUACGCAUACAACAACACACAUUGGCAUGUAAAAAAAUUCAAUUUUAUAAUCAUUUCCGAUUGCAAAGUGCGCUCGAUAUUUGAUUGAAUUGAAUUUGGUUUGCUUUGGCUUGAUUUUCAAAUAAACGGUACAAGGCGCACAUCAAAUCCACUUCCACAAUCACUACCACCACCACCACCACCACCACCAUCAUCAUCAUAUCAUCACUAUCGUCAACUCCAACUACUACUACUAGUACUGCUAUUACUACGACAACAAUUACUAAAAAGUACAUCCUCAGCCACUAACUGUCCGCUCAUCACUAAAUUGAACAUGCAAAUAUGUAAUAGGUCACAGGACGCUGACGCAUAAUUCUUAAUUGUCUACAUCAAAUAAUCGUCCUCAAGAUAGAGAAACUUGUUGUGCGUUUUUAUUAUCGGUGGCGUCCCGGCGUUGAAUUUAUACGCAAUUAUUAUUUUGGGCAUAAAAAAAGUCAACUUUAUUGAGUUUAACAGUAGCUAUUAUAUAGUAAAGAGCGCAACAUAAUGUCUUUGUGGAAGAGUGUCAGUCGCUUUCCAGAGCUGAAAAAGCGCAUGACUGAUUAUUACGUUGUCAAGGGCUUCGCGGAGAUACGCGAGCAAUUUGCAGAUUGGAUUGAACAAGUUUUAAUAAACGACGAAGAAUCUCGUACAGGCGAAAAACCGUUAGACCAACAAGCCAAAUCAUUCUACGAAGAACUGAAAUUGAAAAUUAUUUCUCUGAGUGGAGAUCAUCUGUUGAAAUAUAAAUUUCGUGAUAUUUGUACGCAAUUUGCGCUAUCACAACCAUUCGAACUCUAUACAUACGUACGCAGCGGUAUUCUUCAAGAAUUACAGGCAUUGAAGGACAUGCCUCAAAACCCCUACAUGUAUAAUCUUGUGGGUGGCAAUGUGAAUGGGGUAGGCAUGAAUACGGGCAAUCCCUAUUUGAGUGGCGUAGGCGGCCACCUAAAUGAUGUGCCUAUGGCGGAGGAGGGUUAUGGGUUGACAGCACGUAUACAAAAGCUGGCAGUUGAUAUGGAUAAUAUACGUGUGACGAUACAAAGUUUCCAAAGUGAACAGGAAUCCAUAUAUACUUAUUUUAGUGAAUUGAAUCAGACACGUGCAAUGAUGUCACCGCAAGAGGCCCAGGAGCAUGAUAAUCAAUUCAAGGAUCAGUGCGUUAUAUUAAAUGAACGUAGAAAGGCUCUUGUACUCGAUUUGAGACGUGUUGUAAGCGAAUACGAUACCAUACAAGAUCAAGUGAUAAUGGCAUUGAAAAUGUGGCAACGUAACCAGGCGCUUGCUGGCAAUGGUGCGCCAUUCCUUGAUAAUUUAGAUGACAUACAACGCUGUGUGGAGAUGUUGGUCGAUAUGAUCGCUAAAAUUCAAACGUUUGUUAGUAAUCUACUUUUGAUGGCUGACGAUCCUAUACUAACUGAGCUGUUGUCCCACGUACGUUCUGUGCAAAGAAUGCUUGUUUUAUCGUCGUUUAUAGUGGAGCGACAGCCACCACAAGUAAUGAAAACACAUACAAGAUUUGCCGCUGCUGUUCGAUGGCUCAUUGGACCGCAACUUGGCCUAUAUACAAAUAGUCCAAGUAUAGAAUGCGUUAUACUUUCAGAGGCCCAAGCACAGCGACAUGCCGCUCACAACAGCACUUCUGAUAUGCAGACAUCUUCACCUCCACAAUCUUCUGGUGAAAUUUUAAAUAAUGUUAGCACAAUGGAGUUCCAACAGGCUACACGAGUUCUUUCAGCAAGCUUUAGGAAUAUGCAAUUGAAGAAAAUUAAGCGCGCCGAAAAGAAAGGCACAGAAAGCGUUAUGGAUGAAAAAUUUUCCCUACUUUUUUACACAACUGUUGUUUUCAAUGAAUUUAAGAUUAGUUGCUGGACACUCUCUUUGCCCGUUGUUGUUAUUGUGCAUGGUAAUCAAGAACCGCAAUCCUGGGCUACAAUCACUUGGGAUAAUGCAUUUUCGGAUAUAACACGUGAACCUUUUCAAGUACCAGAGAAAGUGCGCUGGGCACAAUUAUCGGUGGCAUUGAAUACCAAAUUUGGUUCGGCAACAGGCAGAGGUUUAACCGAAGAAAAUUUAAAUUUCCUUUAUGAGAAACUUUUCCGCAAUGAAGCUGGCGAACACACCGAGUUUAUAACAUGGGCACAGUUUUGCAAGGAGCCGUUGCCAGAUCGAACAUUCACCUUCUGGGAUUGGUUCUUUGCUAUUAUGAAAUUAACAAAAGAUCAUCUACUGAAUCUUUGGAAAGAGGGCUUGAUUGUUGGUUUUAUAAAUAAGCGUAAAACUUUGGAAGAAAUUUUACCAAUGCAACAGUAUGGCACAUUUUUAUUGCGUUUCUCAGACAGUGAAUUGGGUGGCAUUACCGUGGCAUUUGUUGAUGAUCAGGGUAAUAAACUCAUGUUGGCACCAUGGACGUCACGCGAUUUAAAUAUACGUUGCUUAGCGGAUCGCAUACACGAUUUGAAUGUUUUGCGUAUCGUUUAUCCAAAGAAUAUCCCACGUGACGAGGCAUUCGCUAGUUUCUACUCACACCACGUUGAAGAACAAACAACACGUGAUGGUUAUGUUGCAAAUACAAUACGAGCACAUGUACCGGCCAUAGAGGGUGGUUCUGUUGCGGGCACGCCGCAGCAUCAGCCUCAAGAUAUAACAAUGCCAAAUUAUGAGAUGUUUGACAUCGAUUGGAAUAACGUAAUCUGAAAUGGGUGGGCUGAAGACCAAGUAUAAGUAAUUGGUAUCAUGAAGGGUCGUCUAUUGUUUAGUGUGCAGUGCAACACGCAUAUUGUGUGUGCUCAAUAAAAACUCGUAAGCAGUUUUAGUGACUUUGAUUCAAUUUUAUAUUGAUGGAUGGAAACAUAUACACGGUGCUUAUACACAACCACAAAACACACCAUAAACUAAAAUGAAAGCAAGACAAAGUAAAGUAAAAAACAUAAUUAUACUAUAAAUAUUUCAACAAAAUGCCAUACUAUAAGAGAAGACUUUUUGGCUAAAGAAUGCAGCUUUGUUAUUGAAUGUUUGGCCUUUACAUUAUUACAUACAUACUCAUUUGCAAACUGUCAGGCAUAGCUAUCAACACGAAACUGCUUACCAAUUUAACUGGGCAUGUGCGAAAUGCGAAAAAAUUGUUAAGAACAGAAUAUUUGCAAAACUGACGAAGAAUGUGAAAUAUGUUCCUGUGAAAUAUAGCAACGGAAAAAAAAUUAUAAGCGUGCGUGUUUACUUACAACAUACAUGUUGCAAAGCAAUGCCAAUUGCAUAUAAAAAACCUUGAAUAUAUACCGUUAUGCAUGCUGUGUCUGUCGCCUUUGAAACUACAUACAUAUAUUUACAAAAAAAAAAAAAAAAAAAAAAAAAAAAGAAACUCUAGAUGGUGUCUCCCAAAACUUUUUUUGUUUUUUUUUUUAGUAGUUCUCACUAUUGCUCCUCUUAUUGCGCGUAGUGGUUAUUAUUGCAUAGUUUGAAAAGUUGAAAAAGGAAAAUAGUAAAUGUAAUAUUUUUAUACUCGUCGUUGCCUUAUAUAGUUAUAUUAAUUACAUUCACUUUUGUUUGUUUUUUAAUAUACUCUAUUUUGAUAAUAAAAAAAAAAA
Ceratitis capitata (Mediterranean fruit fly) is the source of this 3983-nucleotide RNA transcript. It is a transcript of the gene named signal transducer and transcription activator, with no coding region annotated. The record is from RefSeq and is a predicted model, not a curated record. NCBI's taxonomy places the organism in Eukaryota, Metazoa, Arthropoda, Insecta, Diptera, Tephritidae. The transcript has 13 exons.